Molecule: long non-coding RNA, 822 nt
Organism: Zea mays
Lineage: Eukaryota; Viridiplantae; Streptophyta; Magnoliopsida; Poales; Poaceae
Exons: 2
Source: RefSeq, a predicted model, not a curated record
AACACACUGUGGUUCCUUGUCUGGAUUACUCAAGAACAUUUCUAAGUGACGAACAAUACCAACAUAGUUUACUGCAGCCAUUGAAUAAAAGUAAGUUCCGAUACAUUUAGGAAUUCUACUACAGUUUGUUUCUGUUUCUACAUUUUCUCACUGGAAUUUUAAAACUGAGUUUGAUUCUUGUGCUAAGGUUUCUAACCCUUAGUUUUAUGCAAAUAACGUCACAAUAGAUUAUGGUGAAUUUGAGUUGUCUAUUCUGGUAAAAGGGUGUCAUAUUUUAUCUCGAUCCUGAGAGCACCCAUUUUUUAUCACUGCUUGUGUAUGGUUUACACUUAAUAUACUAAGGUCAGAACUAUGAACUAUUUCAAUCCAAGUAUAAUUCAUUAAUAUUUAUUCUAUGAUACUUCCACAACACUGUUUGUGUUGAUAUCCCUGAGCCCUGAAAACCAAAGCUUAUUGGUUUAUAUGGGCAAAUGGUAACACUGAAAGCUAAGAUAGCUUGAUGGAGAAUUUGACACUUCCUUUGCUGAGAUCCUAUCUGGCAUUUCUUCUAGAUGGUCAGAUUUUGCAAGCAUUGGAUGGAGGCUCUGAUGCGUUUGUUAUGGGAUUGAGUUCUGCUCAAUCACAGCUCUCAGUUCUAGAUAGUUCUUCGCGGCUUGGACUAAAGCCAUGGCAAAAAACAAAGCCAUGUAUUGAGAUAUUGUGCAAUAACCAGGUUCUAUCACCAGAGAUGAGUUUGGCUACUGUGCGAACAUAUAUAUGGAAAAAGCCAGAAGAUUUGAUUCUUCAUUACAGAGUGGUCCAACCGAGAUGAUCACGGCUUCA